This 550-nucleotide ribosomal RNA is filed under the name uncultured bacterium. Its description in RNAcentral is "bacterial SSU rRNA". It matches the Rfam family "Bacterial small subunit ribosomal RNA", at positions 344 to 904 of the family's 1533-position model. The record is from RNAcentral.
GGAGGCAGCAGUGGGGAAUAUUGCACAAUGGGCGGAAGCCUGAUGCAGCAACGCCGCGUGCGGGAUGACGGCCUUCGGGUUGUAAACCGCUUUCGCCUGUGACGAAGCGUGAGUGACGGUAAUGGGUAAAGAAGCACCGGCUAACUACGUGCCAGCAGCCGCGGUGAUACGUAGGGUGCGAGCGUUGCCCGGAUUUAUUGGGCGUAAAGGGCUCGUAGGUGGUUGAUCGCGUCGGAAGUGUAAUCUUGGGGCUUAACCCUGAGCGUGCUUUCGAUACGGGUUGACUUGAGGAAGGUAGGGGAGAGUGGAAUUCCUGGUGGAGCGGUGGAAUGCGCAGAUAUCAGGAGGAACACCAGUGGCGAAGGCGGUUCUCUGGGCCUUUCCUGACGCUGAGGAGCGAAAGCGUGGGGAGCGAACAGGCUUAGAUACCCUGGUAGUCCACGCUGUUAACGGUGGGUACUAGGUGUGGGGUCCAUUCCACGGGUUCCGUGCCGUAGCUAACGCUUUAAGUACCCCGCCUGGGGAGUACGGCCGCAAGGCUAAAACUCAA